AGAGUCAGAGAACGUGAAAUCGCUGGAGUGGAACCGGAGACAGUUGAUGUUGCUUGGAGACAAGUUUGGUGGCUGGUCGCUUAGUUGUGAUCGUCGCCGGAUGUCGUUUCCUAUGCUACGCCGACGGCGUUGGUCGCUCGUUCUGGCCCGAUAGUGUUGCCCAGCUCGCAAGAGUCGGUGUCUUGUUAUCGGUCGUUGGUUCGUGGUGGCUAGCGUUUAGUUACGCUAGUGUGUGUGACGUCGGUGUGAAAGUCGACGACGUUUCCGACCCGUCUUGAAACACGGAUUGCGGAGUGCUUGUCUACUGCGAGUCAAAGGGUGUUAAAACCUUGCGGCGAAAUGAAAGUGAAGGUCAGUCUUGAAUUGGCCGACGUGGGAUCGGUGCUCCUCGGAGUGCUGCGCACCACGGCCCUGUGCGUGUCACUUGUGACUGUGCAGAGGUUGACCAGUUGGCAAACGACCCGAAAGAUGGUGAACUAUG
RNAcentral lists this ribosomal RNA (481 nucleotides) under Rhabditida sp. 3057ed. RNAcentral's name for it is "eukaryotic LSU rRNA". It matches the Rfam family "Eukaryotic large subunit ribosomal RNA", at positions 384 to 835 of the family's 3401-position model. Lineage: Eukaryota; Metazoa; Nematoda; Chromadorea; Rhabditida. The record is from RNAcentral.